This 361-nucleotide ribosomal RNA is filed under the name uncultured bacterium. Its description in RNAcentral is "bacterial SSU rRNA". It matches the Rfam family "Bacterial small subunit ribosomal RNA", at positions 8 to 334 of the family's 1533-position model. The record is from RNAcentral.
AGAGUUCGAUUAUGGCUCAGGAUGAACGCUGGCGGCAUGCCUAAGACAUGCAAGUCGAACGAGAUGGCCCAGUGAAAGUUGCGUGCUUGCACAAGACUGGAUCUGGAUCACCAUCUAGUGGCAGACGGGUGAGUAACACGUGGGUGACCUACCUUUUCGUUGGGGAUAACAGUUGGAAACGAUUGCUAAUACCGAAUAAAAUAUAAGAGUCAAUUUUAUAUUGAAAGGAGCCUUUAAAGCUUCGCGAUUAGAUGGGCCUGCGGCGUAUUAACUAGUUGGUGGGGUAAUGGCCUACCAAGGUAACGAUGCGUAGCCGAACUGAGAGGUUGAUCGGCCACACUGGGACUGAGACACGGCCCAG